This 3884-nucleotide long non-coding RNA is filed under the name Homo sapiens (human). RNAcentral describes it as "non-protein coding lnc-SLC25A16-3:1". Lineage: Eukaryota; Metazoa; Chordata; Mammalia; Primates; Hominidae. The record is from RNAcentral.
AGUAGAGACGGGGUUUUACUGUGGUCUCAAUCUCCUGACUUCGUGAUCCGCCCACCUUGGCCUCCGAAAGUGCUGAGAUUACAGGCAUGAGCCACCGCGCCCGGUCUGAAACCCUGUCUCUAAAAAAAAUAUAAAAAUUAGCUGGGUGUGCUGGAGCACACCUGUAGUCCCAGCUCAUCAGGAGGCUGAGGUGGGAGGAUCACGUGAGCCUAGGAGGCAGAGGCUGCAGUGAGCCAAGAUAGCGCCACUAACAAACCAGCCUGGGCAAAAGUGCAAGACCCUGUCUCAAAAAGACAAAACAAAACAAAAAAAACACAGAGAAGUGAAGUGAAUGGUUUAAUUCAAAUUUAUACUCUGGAUUAAAAAGAAAUAAAAAUGAAAUUUGCUUCAAGAAGUCUGUAUACUUAAAUCAUGUUGACAUUCCAACUAAGAUUUAGAAAAACAACAUCUUUUGGGAAUCACUUUUUUUUGUAUUUUUAGUAGACAUGGGGUUUCACCACGUUGGCGAGGCUGGACUUGAACUCCUGACCUCAGGUGAUCCGCCCGCGUUGGCCUCCCAAAGUGCUGGGAUUACAGGUGUGAGCCACUGUGCCCAGCCUGUGAAUCACUUUUUACUAAUCUCAGGAAGGUCACAAUGCUAUCAUUAUUUGCUUUUAGAAUAAUCACUAAGAGCUUAAUAACAUUAAAAUACAUUAAAAACACCAGAGUUAGAUUUUUAAAACUAAGAAAAUGUUAAAAGUACAAAAUUUCUCACCUUCUUGAGAACAGUGUGGAUUUCAUCCAUUACCGUAGAUAAGUUUCUGAUUGUCUUAUUCAUUUGGUUUUCAAAUUGUAAAUUCAUGUUUUCCGAAAUCUUUAAGUUUUCUUGUAACUGACUAAGGUCCUUUUUAACUUCUCUGAGUUCACCAGAGAGGCUUUUGUUGGAAUUCUCCAAAUUUAAUAUGGUUUUUUCAUCUUCAUCUGUUUAAAAAAAUCCAAAAAUUAACAUUUUACUUCCUAAAAUUUCAAAUUUAACUUUGAGGUUAAAAUAUUUAAGCUGUGAAAAUAAAAAGCUGAUAGAAUUCCAUAAAAUGGCAAUGUCUGUCAAUUUCAUUAGUCAUAAAGCACACUGCAAUAUUCAUUUAUUUAUGUAUUUACUUUUGAGACUGAGUCUCACUCUGUUGCGCCAGCUUGAGCGAAGUGGCACGAUCUUGGCUGGGAUUACAGGCGCGUACCACCACACCCAGCUAAUUUUUGUAUUUUUAGAGACGGGGUUUCACCAUGUUGGUCAGGCUGGUCUCGAACUCCUGACCUCAAACAAUCUGCCUGCCUCGGCCUCCCAAAGUGCUGGGAUUACAGGCGGGAGCCACCAUGCCUGGCCUGUUUCAUUUAAAUUUUUAACUUGUAUUAUUUCAAAACCUAUGUUCUAUUUUUAGAUGACUGUAUAGAUUAGAGAACACAGACUGGUAAAAACUAAGUGGAGGCCAGGCGCAGUGGCUCAUGCCUGUAAACCCAGCACUUUGGGAGGCUGAGGUGGGCGGAUCACGAGGUCAGGAGAUCGAGACCAUCCUAGCAAACAUGGUGAAACCCUGUCUCUACUAAAAAUACAAAAAAUUAGCCAGGCGUGGUGACACGCACCUGUAGUCCCAGCUACUUGGGAGGCUGAGGCAGGAGAAUCGCUUGAACUUGGGAGGUGGAGGUUGCAAUGGGCCAAGAUAGCCCCACUGCACUCCAGCCUGGGUGACAGGGCAAAACUCUGUCUCAAAAAAAAAAAAGUGGAACCAGAAGAUGAUUAAAAGGAUGCAACAGGUAACAAUGAACCUGAGAAUACACAGGAAGACCUAAGAUUCAGAUAAAGCUAAGCAAUUUUAUAACCUGAACCAGAAAUAGUGAAAAGUAAAGGUCCCUGCAGAGCAUGGUGGCUCCUGCCUGUAAUCCCAACACUAUAGGAGGCCAAAGUGGGUGAUCCCUUGAGGUCAGGAGUUUGAGACCAUCCUGGCCAACAUGGUGAAACCCCAUUUCUACUAAAAAUACAAAAAAUAGCUGGGCAUGGUGGCGCAUGCCUGGCCAAUUUUUGUAUUUUUGGAGAGACAGGGUUUCACCAUGUUAGCCAGGCUGGUCUUGAACUCCUGACCUCAGGUGAUCCACCCUCCUCCGCCUCCCAAAGUGCUGGGAUUACAGGUGUGAGCCACUAUGCCCAGCUGUAAUUUUCACUUAUGAUGGAAAUCCAUGGAAUUGAGUAAGAUCCAAGUUACUUUUGAAAAAAAAAACUUCAUUGUUAAAAAGUAUAACAUUGAUAAAAAUUUAUGCACAGGGAUGAUUUAUUACAGCAUAGUUGGUAAAUCCAAUAAAUGAAAACCACCAGCAAUGGAGACUAGGUAGGUAAAUUAUGGUACAUCUGUAUAAUGGGUACUGUGCAGCUAUAAAAAGAAUGAGGCAGGUCUCUAUUUUCAUGGUGAAUGUAUCUAUAGAAUACUGUGGAAUGAAAAAAAAAAAGCCAGUCAAAACGUACAGAAUAAUUCCACGUUUUGUUUAUAAAAAUGGAACUGAGCUGCUUACAAAAAGAUCUAGAAUUUUAUAUAUUGUAGUCCUAAGGAGUAGAAACAGAGGGAGAGGGAGAAGGGAAGUGUUUUACAACUGGCUUGUGUUAUAUUGCUUUAUUUUUAUUUUUUGAGAUGGAGUCUCACUCUGUCACCCAGGCUGGAGUGCAGUGGCGUGAUCUUGGCUCAUUGCAACCUCCACCUCCUGGGUUCAAGAGAUUCUCCUGUCUCAGCUUCCCGAGUAGCUGGGAUUACAGGCGUGUGCCACCACACCCAGCUAAUUUUUGCAUUUUUAGUAGAGACGGAGCUACGCCAUGUUGGCCAAGCUGGUCUUAAACUCCUGGCCUCAACUGAUCUGCCCGCCUCAGCCUCCCAACCUGCUGGGAUUAUAGGUGUGAGCCACCACGCCUGGCCCUUAUAUUGCUUUAAUAUAUCAAAAAGUCAACAGAGGUUCUAUUAACUUUUCACUGGAAAGGUAACUUUUAAAAAAUGUUUUCCUUUUAAAUAUUCACAAGAUAGAUUACCUGAGCCCGAGAAAGAUGUAGUCCAAGAGUAUAAAGUAUUUCUUCCAAAUCCUUUUCAAGAAGGUAACCACAAUGACUUUGAUCAAAAUAAACAAAAGCCAUUAACAGAUCUCUGUUAAUUGUGAUCAUUUGAGUCUUUUCUUUUUCCUAAGAAAAUGGAGAAGUAGAAAACAUAGUAUUCAAAUUUCAAAUUUUUUACCCCCAAAAAGUGAGAAACGGAGACUGUGCAUAAGAUAGCAAUAAUCUAAUAAGAUAUUUGCCUCAUCCUAGCUAAAAUGAGUUUAUCUGGUAUACGAAUAUGAGAGAAAAGAAUCAGACAUACUAGUUAUCUGACAUAGCCACAAAAAAACAACUGACAGAAUUUUACUUAGUGGUAAUAAAGAUGUAUAAGGACUAAUAAACUUCACAACUGUGUUAUGUUUAGAUGAUGUAAGAUAUCACCAUAUUAUAAAGAAUACAGUAUUCAAUAAACACCUUAUCUUUAGAGGGCCUCUCCUUGCAGUAUCUGUUGAUAUCUCUUUUGUCAUCUCGUUUGGUCAUUUCUUCCUCAUCCCUAUCUGUAAAAUAAAUAUAACAGUGGCAAAAAAGUCAUUAAUACACAUACUUUCAAGUGGGCACAGUGGCACAUGACUGUUAUCCCAGCUACUCAGGAGGGCCAGGCGUUCGAGGGUGUAGUGAGCUAUGACUAUACCACUGCACUCCAGUCUGGGUGACAGAUCAAGACCCUGUCUUUUAAACAACAACAACAAAAACAUAAAGAGAAAACCUUAUGCUAAAACAUACAUGAACCUUGAUAACAGGCUAAGUAAAAGAAGCCAGUCACAAAAAAAUCACUUAUCGU